This 1016-nucleotide ribosomal RNA is filed under the name haloarchaeon 30AH. Its description in RNAcentral is "bacterial SSU rRNA". It matches the Rfam family "Archaeal small subunit ribosomal RNA", at positions 23 to 1038 of the family's 1478-position model. The record is from RNAcentral. Lineage: Archaea; Methanobacteriati; Methanobacteriota; Halobacteria; Halobacteriales; Halobacteriaceae.
GCCAUUGCUAUUGGAGUUCGAUUUAGCCAUGCUAGUUGCACGAGUUUAGACUCGUGGCGGAAAGCUCAGUAACACGUGGUCAAACUACCCUAUAGACCAGGAUAACCUCGGGAAACUGAGGCUAAUCCUAGAUAACGCUCCCCUGCUGGAAUUGCAGGGAGCCGGAAAUGCUCCGGCGCUAUAGGAUGUGACUGCGGCCGAUUAGGUAGACGGUGGGGUAACGGCCCACCGUGCCGAUAAUCGGUACGGGUUGUGAGAGCAAGAGCCCGGAGAUGGAUUCUGAGACAGGAAUCCAGGCCCUACGGGGCGCAGCAGGCGCGAAAACUUUACACUGCACGACAGUGCGAUAAGGGAACUCCAAGUGCGAGGGCAUAACGUCCUCGCUUUUGUGUAUCGUAAGGUGGUACACGAAUAAGAGCUGGGCAAGACCGGUGCCAGCCGCCGCGGUAAUACCGGCAGCUCAAGUGAUGGCCAAUUUUAUUGGGCCUAAAGCGUCCGUAGCCGGCCAGACAGGUCCGUCGGGAAAUCUGCUCGCUCAACGAGCAGGCGUCCGACGGAAACCCGCUGGCUUGGGACCAGAAGACUCGAGGGGUACGUCUGGGGUAGGAGUGAAAUCCUGUAAUCCUAGACGGACCGCCGAUGGCGAAAGCACCUCGAGAGGAUGGAUCCGACGGUGAGGGACGAAAGCUAGGGUCACGAACCGGAUUAGAUACCCGGGUAGUCCUAGCUGUAAACGAUGCUCGCUAGGUGUGGCACAGGCUACGAGCCUGUGCUGUGCCGUAGGGAAGCCGAGAAGCGAGCCGCCUGGGAAGUACGUCCGCAAGGAUGAAACUUAAAGGAAUUGGCGGGGGAGCACUACAACCGGAGGAGCCUGCGGUUUAAUUGGACUCAACGCCGGACAUCUCACCAGCAUCGACAAUAGCUGUGACAGUCAGUGUGAUGAGCUUACUAGAGCUUUUGAGAGGAGGUGCAUGGCCGCCGUCAGCUCGUACCGUGAGGCGUCCUGUUAAGUCAGG